This 1364-nucleotide long non-coding RNA is filed under the name Piliocolobus tephrosceles (Ugandan red Colobus). Its description in RNAcentral is "lncRNA (ENSPTEG00000007932.1)". Lineage: Eukaryota; Metazoa; Chordata; Mammalia; Primates; Cercopithecidae. The record is from RNAcentral.
UAACUUUUAAUUUGCGCUAUUUUAACAUAUUAAUUUUUUUAAAGUCUUAUAUAUUUAAAUAAUGUAAAAUUAGUAAAAAAAUAGAAGACAAAACAGUUACGAAUAAACAUUAUUUAAAAUAUUAUUGUUUAUAUCGACAAAUAAGUAGUAAUAUAUCCCACGUGAAUUAUUUUACAAGUGCAACUAUAAUUCAAAUAUAUGUACAUAUAUAUUAUAUGUAUAUAUUUAAGUCCAUACAUAUAUAGUUGCUUUUUUCUCUUUUUAAAUAUAUACCUAAAAUACGACGACUAAAAUCAGAAAAUCUAUUUUACAUGCAUAACAUUUGCCAUGAUGAAACAAUCCAGUUGGAUCUUUCUAUAAUUUUUGAUUAUAUAAUUAUAUUUACGUAAAUGAAGUGUUUUUUUUUUUUUAAUUUUUAUUGUUAAUUAUUUUCAAUAGUUUCAACAUUUUCAACAAUCAUUUGUUAUUUAGAAAUACAAAACACAUCGUGAUAUAUGCAAAGGCUUAUAUAUAUAGAGAUAUAUUAAUUAAAAUCGGAUGGUAUGUAUAUGUUUGUAAACAAAACUAUAUCAGUACAAUAAUAUAACACAAAUAUACGUUAUUUUUCCAGAAGUAUAUUUUUAUGUGAAUACUACAAACUCCAUGUUGAUUCAAUUGCGGUACUCGUAAGAUAAAUGAACAAAUAAAUAAGUAGGCUAAAACAAAUAAACUAAAGCCAAAAAGAUAAAAUAAAAGCAAUAAUAAACCAUUUGAAAAAUAAAUGAGUAAUUGUAUAUAAAAAAGAAAAUAUAAUGGGAGAUUAUUUAAAAACAGGAUCAGUAAACUAUGACUUAGAAAUUUUAAAAAAGAAACCAGAAAAAAAGUUAACUCUAGAUAAACAAAAUUUAUACUUACAAGGAUAUGGUAGACAAUGGGGUGAAAAAUUAGUUUACAGUGUUGGUUUAGCAUAUGGGUCAGGAUUAUUGCUCGGUGGGAGUGUUGGUUUAGUUAAUGGAAUUAUGAAAGGAGGAAAAACAAAAAAGCUUUUUAUAAACUCAGUGUUAAAUUCUACUUCUGUUAUAGGACCUAAUGUUGCAAACCAAAUGGCAUCGUUAACUAUGAUUUUUUAUGCUUUUAACAAUAUUGUAAGAUUAUUUACAAAAAAUGAUGAAAUUUAUAAUUCAUCUAUGGCUGGUUUUAUAUCCGGUGCUAUAUACAAAAGUUCAUCAAGUUACAAAAUUAUGGGUGCUUAUUCUUUAAUGUCAUCGGCGGUUUUUUCUUUGAUAGAUUAUGGCUUUAAAAGGGGCUAUAUUUGACCCCGAUGUGGAUAUAAAUGUAUGCACAUAUAUAUAUGCACAAAUUUUUAAUAUAUGAUUAUUUAUUGA